RNAcentral lists this unclassified non-coding RNA (228 nucleotides) under Hevea brasiliensis (rubber tree). Lineage: Eukaryota; Viridiplantae; Streptophyta; Magnoliopsida; Malpighiales; Euphorbiaceae. The record is from RNAcentral.
GGAAAACAAAGAAUGGCCCUAAAUUUUAACUUGGGAGGAAAAACUGAGAAAUUUGGGAAAUUUUGAAUAAGUUACAAACUGUACAUUCUUUACAACAAAUCACAAUACAUAUGUAUAAAUUUCAGAACUAGUUUGCUAACCUAAUAUAUAUGCAAAUAUUUCAUCAAUUUGCAUACUUCCUAUAAUGCUAAAUUCAUUGUCUAAGUUGUAUUGUGCUUUACCUUUCGG